This 3751-nucleotide long non-coding RNA is filed under the name Homo sapiens (human). Its description in RNAcentral is "HSALNT0332823". Lineage: Eukaryota; Metazoa; Chordata; Mammalia; Primates; Hominidae. The record is from RNAcentral.
AUGGCAACCGCGGCAGGAAAAGGAACAGGACUAGUUUUGUGCUGCUCUGUAAAUGGCCAGGAUUCAGCAGCUAUCUCAGGACUUCUGCUUGGCCCCAGACAAUCUGAUCUCCUGGUAAGGUUAUUAAACUUGGCUCUCCUCUUCCACCCUCCUUUGAUCAUGUUGUCAGGCAGCGAGUAGGAAUGGCCGUAAGGGGUCGGCUGGUGGGGGUUGCAGAGCACAGCAAGAUAUGCACCAGCAGAAACAUAAGAACAGGGGCAGAGGCAAAUCAGGGACUGUGUUCUUAUCUUUUCUGCACCCCAGAUGCAGAGAAGUACAUCCCCAAGUCCUUGCCAAUACUAUUCUUCAAGAGUUGAGCACCUUGCUCCAAAGAGCCUGUCCAGAUCGCCAGUUUGACCAGCAUGGAGGAGAACAAGGAAGGGCCGGUCCUGGAAGACCCCAGGAUUUUUUUAAUUGGGAAAGCAUUAUUUGAGUUUUCUCUGCUGCAAAGCACAAACUGCCUACCACAUGUGUUUCAUAAAAAUGUCACUGAAAAGGAGAGUGAGAAUACAGAGUAAGCUUCCAUGGCUUAAUAAUAGUUUAUUUUGUGACUUGGAAUAGCUUUUCUUUUCAUUCAGCGGAUCAUUUUAGGUGUCAUUCAGUUUAUUUUAAGUAGUGUGUUUCAUCCUGAGCGGAUUAAGAAUUUUAUUUUUUAAAACUCUGUACUGUGUUGCUUCCUACUGGGAAAUUUACAUUAAAAAAAUGUUCGUGAGCAAAAUCUAUUUGGUCAAAAAGAAUGGCCCACGAUUAUCACUGAAUUUGGGAUGUUUUUCUUCUAAGGGACACAGUUGAUUCUUACUCAGAAUCAUGCGAGUCUGACAUUUCAUUUGGGGAAGUCUGAGGAAGUUGGUGAGGUCUUACGUUAAUAAAAACAAGUGCUUCUUUUUCUUCUUAUCACCUUUCAGUGUCUGCUCUGCUGGCUCAUGCAGUGUAGGUUGGCUUACCUCUCCCUGGAAGUCACAUUGUCCUUCAGAACUCUUUUUACUAUGACCCACAAACAGUUUUCAGACCUCACUCUGAUGAGUCAAAGGUAAAGCUGUGAAUAAACAGAUGGUGAAACAACAUUUGCAGUUCUCUGACUUCAGUCCUCCCUGAAACCCACUUGGAAUCUAGCUCUGAAUUCAGCCGGACAUGUUUGUUCUUCCCUUUUCCCAUCCUCACCUACUCCUAACCUUCAGUGUUCUCUUUACCUUUUAUUUUUAUUUUUGUCAUUUUAGUAGUAAAUGACAGGGACAUAGUUACUCAAUUUGUAAAACAUUGAAUGGUGAGGUCAAAGAUUCUAUGACGAGCUUGAGAUUUCUAACAGGUUCAGAUGGAUGACAGCAACAUUUUGCUGGCUUAAUUUUGGAGCUGUUUUUGUAGGUUUUGAAAUGCAGUUUAAUAGUGAGUAAUAGAGAAGUUUCUUUCUGCCGUGGAGCUACUGAACCCUUGAAAGUAACAUGCUGGCACAUACAGAUGAACUGUAGCCCCACAUUUAUUCCUUGCUUAGUGGUAAGCUGUACACUGAACAAUAGAAAACAAAAGGCUAUUUUUCUUUGGAAGAGCAGAUACUGAUUUCUGGACAAAGUUUAUGUUGUACAAGUUAAACAUUUUUUAUUCUUUUCUGGUUAGAUUUUCUGCCUUUUAAAAAAUUAGCUUAGUUGAAAAAGCAGGUAUUAUUAAAUACAGUUUAUUUUAUUGAAUUGGACGGACAAUCGUAGAAUUUUAAAGCUUAAAUGGCUUUAAUUGAACCUAAUGUUCUAAUUUUACAGAGGAAACAUUUGAGGCUUAGUGCGGUUAAAUGACCACUCCUACAACACACAGCCUGUUUGUUUGAUGGCUGAGGCUGAAAACCAGACUCCAGACUCCUAAUUUAAUGCUUUUCCUUCAUUGGUCAUGUCUUUUUAGCUUCAGUGAAGAUCUUUUUUUUUUUUUUUUUUUUAAUUUUUGAGGUUAUUUAAAAAAUACUUUGCCUUGAAAAUUUAACAUUUCCACUUAAUCAUUCUCAUACUUCAAGAACAGUUUCUCUGUUAACUUUCUGUUUAACUUCUUAAACCAUACACUGUGGAAAUUAUCUGUCUAUAUGCUGAACAGUCUUUAAUGACUGCAUGUGUGCCGUAGCUGUUGAGAUGUUUUAAUCCACUUUAGCAAAAGGUUUAUUUGUUUAAGAAAAGUGCAGUGUUGUAUUAAGUCUAAGCUUAGAACAAUGAAGCAUCAUCUCCCAGCUACUGGGAGUGAGAAUGGGAGGGGCAGGGAGUGGUUGGUACUAUGAGCUGCUCUAAAGAAAAUUCAUUUCAGCUUCCUCACAUGUUAAUACAAUCAUAUUUCAGUGAAGCCCUUCUUCAGCAACAGUCACUAAUGAUAGAGUGAUGUGUUUAGACUUGAAGGUUCUUUAGGUGCUGUUUAAAUGAAUAAUGAGUGUAGUUAAUUCACAAUACAGGUGAAAAGUUAACCACAGAGUAGUGGCACUGCUCUUUCUUUCCCCGUCACCUCUGUGCAUGAUCUCUUGCUGCGCCAUUAGAAGGGAUGAUUAGAAUGGGCAAAUAUUCCCUCCCGGUGCUCCUGGCAAUAGGAAAGCACUGUGGCUCUCUCCACCUAGCCAGUGUGGCCUGAGGCAUUCAUAGCCAUGUUCUGAGUGGUGAAGGCUAAGAGAGCCCAGGAGAGCUGUCCAGGGUUAAAUAAGACAUUAAUAUAUAAAGUAAGGACUGUCGGUAUACGUGAUAUUUAUAUGUUAUCAUAUUACAUUUUAUUUAUUUAUUUAUUCAUUUAUUUAUUUGUAUAUAUAGAGAGAGAAACAGAGUCUCACUCUGUUGCCCAGGCCAGAGGGUAGUGGUGCCAUCAUAGCUCACUGUAGUGUCGAACUCCUGGGCUCCAGUGAUCCUCCCGCCUCAGCCUGCUGAGUAGCUAGGACUACAGACUUGUGCGACCACACUUAUUUUUUGUUUUUAAUUUAUUUUUUGUAAAGACAGGGUCUCAUUCCAUUGCCCAGGCUGCAUUUUUAAGUUUAGUAACUGCCCAAAUGGACAUUGGGUAAAAUAAAAAUAAAUACAGUCACUUCUCUUCUUAAAUCAUUCACCUCUCAAGAUGAAGAAAGAUUGUCACCAAUUUUCAAAGAAUUUGAGUAUAAUUAAAUACACUUCAUAAUAAACUAGGCUGAACAUAAUUUAAUCUUUCCCUGAAGAAAACUGUAAUACUGCAUAUGCAUUUUCAAACUAUGCAUAUUUCUUCUUCAUUCCAUGUGGAAGUUUUUAUUCAGCCUUUCAGUAAAUUUUACUUAGCUUGUCCCAUGGAUGCCGCUACCCAAUCAGAGCAAAAACAGUAUUUUAAAAAACCUCAACUGGAUGAGCCUGAUGCAGUGGUGUGCUCAUGCAGUCCCAGCCAAAGGGUCACUUGAGCAGAGGAGUUCAAGGCCAACUUGGGCAACAUAGUGAGACCCCGUCUCUAAGACAAAUAAUAAACAUCAAAAUUAAAAUUAAAAAAAACCCAACCCAGUGUUCCCUUCAGAAUCCUGAGUGGUUUGUUUCAUCUUCCUCUAUUCUGGCUUGUGUCAUCUUCCUCUCUUGUAAUGGAUAAAAACUCCAAAUGAAGACAAAAAUGAGGAAUUUGUCAAAAAAAUUGAAUUGCCAACAAAAGCCAUCUUUGGUUGAUCAAACGGUACAGACGUUUCAGUUAGACAAGAGGGCUAAGUUUCUGAGACCCAUUGUACAGGAUUAUUAAUAUUAUUCAUUUUUAG